RNAcentral lists this non-coding RNA (40 nucleotides) under unclassified sequences. RNAcentral describes it as "DUF805b RNA". It matches the Rfam family "DUF805b RNA". From Rfam's summary of the family: Bacteroidetes, Chlorobi (1 example), Proteobacteria. Lineage (Flavobacteria) The record is from RNAcentral.
ACGGAGGAACCCGAAAAUCCGUAAAUAAUUAGAGUAGGGA